UGGACUCUUCCUCACGUCCGUCUGUGUCCGCAAUGAAUGCGUAGCAGAAGGGUGCUAUGCUUUGCUAACGUCGUCGGGAUUCAUCUUCUUCCCCUGUCCCCCUCCGAACACUGCAACCACAUCCGUCCCCGCACCUUCUUGAAUCCCCCAAACCAUCGCCAAGAUCGACACCGUCCUCCUCGUCUUCUUCUCUCUCAGUUUCUGCCUCUCUUGUACUUACAAGAGAACUCCCCUGAGAAUUCUGAGUGCCUUUGUCUUCGAGAAUUAUGCAGGCCUGGCGUUUCGAUCUGCUUAAAGAAGAAUUCCCCUUUGUUAGCUUGGUCUCUCCAUCUUGGUCCUGACAAGGUGUAGAGGUUUCGCCUUUUAGGUGUUUCAUUGGGUUUUGCCGCUGACCUCGAUUCCCUUUCGACUCUGGAUAGCGAGGAUGAAGGCGCUUGUACUUCCCCUGAUCGCGCCCUUCUUCUUUUUCCUGAGUCCGUGCGUCGGCAGCAUCCAGACGACCCAGCUCAGCCCCGGAUUCCGGGGCUCCGAAAUGGAGUGGAUCGACAACAAUGGGCUCUUCCUCUUGUCCAACAGCUCCGGCUUCGCUUUCGGCUUCACCACCUACAACAGUAGCGACACCACGUCCUUCCUGGUCUCGGUGAUCCACCAGGGGAGCGGCACCAUCGUCUGGACCGCCAACCGGGACGCGCCGGUGUCCCACUCUGACGAGUUCGUGUUCGACAAGGACGGCAGCGCCUACCUCAAGUCCGGUGGCGAUGUGAUAUGGUCAACGAACACCUCUGGCCAGGGAGCGACGCGGAUGGAGCUGCUGGACUCGGGCAACUUGGUACUCCUCGGCGGCGGCGACGGUAGCAGCAGCGCGUCGCCCCUUUGGCAGAGCUUCGAUCAUCCGACGGACACCCUCCUUUCUGGCCAGAGCUUCACCAAGGGAAUGUUGCUGGUGAGCGACCCCAGUGACAGUGGCUUGAGGUAUCAUCUCCGAAUCGACUCGGAGGAUGCGAAGCUCUUCGCGGAAUUCGCGUCACCCCAGCUCUACUGGUCCAUGCAGCGUGACGCUAGGAAGAUCGAUAACCAGGUCGGCGGGGACAUACGCUCCGCGGUGCUCGAAUCCAACUCAUGGAACUUCUAUGAUCAGAAUCAAUCUAGAAUUUGGCAAUUCAUCGUGGAUUCAGCUGAGACCAGUGAGAAUGUCACGCGAAUGGCUGUUUUAGACACCUCUGGCUCCAUCACAUUCUCGAUCCUCCCCAGCAGCGGCCAAGGAAACCCUUCGUCGAUCAAGAUCCCGGAAGACUCGUGUGAUACACCUGAGGCCUGCCAUCCAUACUUCAUAUGUUACCCGGGCAUCCGCUGUCAGUGCCCAAGCGUUCUCAGCCUGGACUCGAACUGUAAUCCCGGUAAUGUUUCUUCUUGUGACCCGAGCACUUCAUUCAAGCUUGCCAAAGUUGAUGAUGGAGUUGGGUAUUUCGCCACUAGUUUUGUCUCACCCAGUGCAAAGUCAAACGUGACAGGGUGCAAAGAUGCAUGCCUGGAUAACUGCUCGUGUGCUGCCUUAUUCUAUGAUGAGAAAUCCGGCAGUUGUUUUCUUUUUGAUCAGAUUGGGAGCUUCAAGCAGAUACAGAGCAACACAGCCAGUUACACUUAUAUCAAAGUGACCAGCAAUGCAGAUGGUGGCAAAGGAUCAAAUGGACAAGGAAGCAGUGGCAGCAAGACCUUGAUGAUUGUCCUAAUCAUCUCGUUCAUGACUGUUGCAGUGAUAGCAGCUCUCGUCUAUCUUGCUUGCAGGAUUCAUCGGAGGAAGAAAAUACCAGAACCAUCACAGGGGUCCUCAGAAGAAGAUAAUUUCUUGGAGGGACUAUCUGGGAUGCCGGUCAGGUUCAGCUACAGAGAGCUUCAAAUGGCUACAGAUGACUUCUCUGUCAAGCUCGGCGAAGGAGGGUUUGGCUCCGUCUAUCUAGGAAAGCUUCCUGAUGGCACAAGAAUCGCAGUGAAGAAAUUGGAAAGCAUUGGCCAGGGGAAGAAAGAGUUCCGCUCUGAGGUGAGCAUAAUAGGCAGCAUCCACCACAUUCAUUUGGUCAAACUUCGGGGUUUCUGUGCAGAAGGCGCACACAGGCUUCUGGCAUAUGAAUAUAUGGCAAAAGGAUCUUUAGAUAGAUGGAUAUUUAAAAAGAAUCAAAGAGAUUUUUCACUGGAUUGGGAUAAGAGGUAUAAUAUAGCUUUGGGCACGGCAAAGGGGUUAGCGUAUCUCCAUGAAGACUGUGAAUCAAAGAUAGUUCAUUGUGAUAUUAAGCCUGAAAAUGUGCUUCUAGAUGACAAUUACCACGCAAAGGUAUCAGAUUUUGGACUAGCAAAGCUUAUGACAAGAGAACAAAGUCAUGUAUUCACAACAUUGAGAGGCACGAGGGGAUACCUUGCACCAGAAUGGAUUACAAACUAUGCCAUAUCGGAGAAAAGUGAUGUGUACAGUUAUGGUAUGGUCUUGCUUGAGAUAAUUGGUGGCAGGAAGAACUUUGAUCCUGCAGAGACUUCUGAGAAAUCCCACUUUCCUUCAUAUGCUUUCAAAAAGAUGGAGGAAGGCAAGUUAAAGGAAAUUUUUGAUGCCAACUUGAUAUAUAAUGACAUGGAUGGGAGAAUGGAGACUGCAAUUAAAGUUGCCUUGUGGUGCAUUCAGGAGGACUUGUAUUUAAGACCAUCAAUGACUAAAGUAGUCCAAAUGCUAGAAGGACUACAAGAUGUCCCUCAACCUCCGACAUCAUCGCAGCUGGGCUUCCGGCUUUAUGCUAAUGCGUUCAAGGCUAUUAGUGAAGAGGGAACAUGUUCAGGUUCAGGGCCAUCAGACUGCAACAGCGAUGCAUUUCUAUCUGCUGUUCGCCUAUCUGGGCCUAGAUAGCAAGGGUAGUCCACUUUGAGUGCAGCCUGCCUUCCACUCACAAAGCAGCUGUUUCUGGUCCGUGAACCUGCUCCAUUGUGCCUAGUGGAGAGAAAAAGACAUGCAACGGAACAGGGAUUUCUUGGCGAUUUAGAUUUGAGCCUUUAAAUUGCUGGGGAUAUCUGUUUCUAUGGAAGCGCGAGACACUGCAGAGAGCCCGACAUCGGUCGCCGCGGCUGCAGGUUCCGAGGGCAAUGGGAGCAAGCCUAACGUCCGUAGCUUCCUCAGCGUCAAGCGCUCGGUAAGGUGCCCGUUGUCCUCACUUUUCCCGCUCGUUGGUAGUCACAUCCUUGUUCAGGUCUGGCUAGGGUUUCUUCAAGCAUUCACCACCGGGCUUCUCCCGAGCAGCGAGCUCGGCAGAGCGGAUGCUUCUCUGAAGAACAAGCCAGCGUUUGGAGAUGCAGGCGGAGUUGCAACACGUGUCGAUCCCAAUUUGAGACGAGUAUAUUAAACUCACAGUCACGUGGGCCCAACUUAACCGGGCCGGAAAUAGAUAUGAUGGUUUGGGCUUUCAGAUCACGGCGUGACGGGGGGUGGAAGCAGACUCUCUCUCUCUCCUCUGCAUUCCAUGCUUGGCAUUACAUUCCAUGAUUCGUAUCUAUCAUCUGGCUGUUGCUCGGUCGUAUAUGCAGCUGCUUGUUAUUCUCCUGAUAUCUGUAGACACCAAGAUACAUGCCAAGAAGAAACUUUCUUGAUUGUCGCUAGCAUCCUGUUGGCUUUAAGGGAACCUGUUUGAAGAAUUUACUCGGAAGCGGGGAUGGAUUCUGUGCUGGGUUGUCUAUGAUGCACAAGUGGAACAUUUCCACUUGUUUCUGAUUCCCGGAAGACGAAAACUACAAUUGCUUGAAGACCUGGCUGCCAUUGACUGGAACUGAUACAACUCAGCGUGUCAGGAUCUUCCUGGAACUUUCUAUGAUGUUGAUGCGCCAAUUUGCAGAUUGGAAUGCAUAGCCUUUGGACAUUUGUACAACAGAUGUUUCAGCAUCUCCACAACCACGAAUUCUCUAGUUCCAGAGAGUUCUUCUGGUUAUCUAGACAGAUGUGUUGAUGCAAUGGGAUGAUUCAUCAUAAAUUUCAUCUGUUUUGUCACCAAGAACGCAUGCUGUCCUUGUCCUCAUCGAUUUCUUCACCUUGGGGCUUGCUCAUUUAGGUGGUGAGAAAGGAAGAAAAGAACUUGUUGUCAUUAUCCAUCAAGGUUCUCAAUGAUCCGUCGCUCAGGGAUUAUUCUUAUCCUCCAGUAGUGCAAGCUAUGACCUUCAAGAUGUAGCUCUACCGUACUUUUAUCCUGGGGAAGAAAUGAUGAAGCUUUGUUCCAAAUAUCUUUCCUUGGUAAAGUCAAUGUAGCAGUCACUCACCACACCAGGAACUAACUGCAUACACAAGAGACCUCUGCUCAUCUGUCGUUUGUGCCGACUGCAAUCGGUAACAAUGCAGUCCAAGCUUGGAGACGCCACAAGUGUUGGCAGAAUGCAUCGAUCAUCUCGUCUCCAACUUAACUGGGAUCUUCGACUCCACUGGAUCUGCAACCAUUUUGGUAUGUUGGUACAUGCAUUCUUGUUUCUUCUGUGAGCCCUAUCUCGUAUUGCUACGCAUGAGAUAUUGAUGGACCACAGAGUUGGAUUUGGAUCGGUGACAUACUAUGUCGUUUUAAUUCAUCGGAAACAUGAUAUGUCGUGCUGUGAUUGGCUUGCUUCAUCUUGUGGCUGACAGAGGCACACAGGUAGAGCUCACAUGCGGGCGGUGGGGCUGAUGGAUCCGCUUGGCCUCCGUUGUUUUGUCCGGACGUGCCAACCGCCCGCAGGAGCAGAUGGGCUGCUGAUUCCUGCCGAUUCGAUGCAGGUGAAGCCACUCGUUCAAUUUAGAAGAUGGAGACCGGUGACCGAGUGAAGAAGAACCCAUGUUAGAAGAUGAUCAUGAUGAUGAUGCCAGGUUAUGAGAUGGUGGUCGUCAGUGUCGGGCAGGAAGAGCUCGGUCGACCUCCUCUUUUAACCCCCUCUCCUCGGGGAUUGUGAUCCAAGUAUGGGUUGCAUUGCAUGAAUCUUCAGGAUCGCGCAUCUUCAAGAGGUGCCAGGGGUGAGCAAAUUGGAGUCGUGCAAAAGCAUGAAGGGCAGUGCUCAGAGGACCAAGAAAGAAA
Non-coding RNA from Musa acuminata subsp. malaccensis (wild Malaysian banana), 5063 nucleotides. The record is from RefSeq and is a predicted model, not a curated record. NCBI's taxonomy places the organism in Eukaryota, Viridiplantae, Streptophyta, Magnoliopsida, Zingiberales, Musaceae.